GGGUCUGUUUAGUUUUAUAGCAGAGGGAAUUUAGAAUAGCAGUGAAUAGAUACACACCUGUCAGCUCUUCAGAAAUAAAACGAGACUGAGCAUGCAGGGAUGGAGUUUGUUUAUUCUUUUCAUCUGUUGUCACCUUCUCUUCUGCAAUUGAUUUUAAAUGAGGAGGAAGUGAACUGACAAAUACAUGCAGUCUCAUUACGGUGUCUCAUCUUUCCUGAUAACAGCGUUAGUAGGUUAUGGAUGAAGUCCAUAAGAGCAGGCACGUCGAUCAGAAAGUCAGAAGUCCUCUCGCAUACAUUUACAACAAACCCUGCAGUGUGGACUAAAAAUGGAGCGGUUUACACUGCUGUUUUCUCAGGCUACCUCUUCUCUCCUCUGGUUCUCCCAUUUCCUCUCCGUCUCUGAUGCACCCUCUAUCACCAGGAGUCAGCAGCAGGGUCGGAUUCCGCUCCUGCAGACAUAGUGUCCUCCGGCGACCCCGAGUUUUGCUGAGUUUCCCCUGGCUGGUAGGGUGUUUCAUCGAGAGUGAAGACUCACAGUCUUCAAGAGGAAGAUUUCCAGCUAAACCCUGGAGAAGCACUUUCCACUUGUCAGUGUCUUUCAUCACCCUCCCAGCUCUCAGAGGUGGUGCUGAUCUCCCCCCUGUCAUCCAAGAGCAGCGAGAAGGAAAGUGGUCUCUUGAGAUUGCACUCCAAAUGUACCCCUGCAUUUUCUGUUUCAUUGACAAUGUUCUCUCACACAUUUUUGGGAUGAGAGAACCACAAGUCAAGGCAGAGGCCUUUCCCAAGGGGCAGGACUCUUAG
Molecule: long non-coding RNA, 803 nt
Filed under: Calidris pugnax (ruff)
Lineage: Eukaryota; Metazoa; Chordata; Aves; Charadriiformes; Scolopacidae
Description: lncRNA (ENSCPUG00000006976.1)
Source: RNAcentral